AGACAUUUAGAAGAAUGUUAGAAACCAGUAACCAUUGACCUCCAUAGUAUUUGUUUUUUCUACUAUUAAAGUAAAUGCUUACGGGUUUCCGACAUGUUUCUGAAUAUCUUCUUUU
Molecule: microRNA precursor, 115 nt
Filed under: Danio rerio (zebrafish)
Lineage: Eukaryota; Metazoa; Chordata; Actinopteri; Cypriniformes; Danionidae
Description: miRNA (ENSDARG00000108739.2)
Source: RNAcentral